UGGGGAAUUUUGGACAAUGGACGCAAGUCUGAUCCAGCCAUGCCGCGUGCGGGAAGAAGGCCUUCGGGUUGUAAACCGCUUUUGUCAGGGAAGAAACGAGUUUCUCUAAUACAGAGACUUAAUGACGGUACCUGAAGAAUAAGCACCGGCUAACUACGUGCCAGCAGCCGCGGUAAUACGUAGGGUGCAAGCGUUAAUCGGAAUUACUGGGCGUAAAGCGUGCGCAGGCGGUUAUGCAAGACAGAUGUGAAAUCCCCGGGCUCAACCUGGGAACUGCCUUUGUGACUGCAUGGCUAGAGUGCGGCAGAGGGGGAUGGAAUUCCGCGUGUAGCAGUGAAAUGCGUAGAUAUGCGGAGGAACACCGAUGGCGAAGGCAAUCCCCGGGGCCUGCACUGACGCUCAUGCACGAAAGCGUGGGGAGCAAACA
Molecule: ribosomal RNA, 427 nt
Filed under: uncultured bacterium
Lineage: Bacteria
Description: bacterial SSU rRNA
Rfam family: Bacterial small subunit ribosomal RNA
Source: RNAcentral